RNAcentral lists this ribosomal RNA (272 nucleotides) under Mantidactylus katae. RNAcentral describes it as "partial 16S ribosomal RNA". The record is from RNAcentral. Lineage: Eukaryota; Metazoa; Chordata; Amphibia; Anura; Mantellidae.
CCAUAAGACGAGAAGACCCCAUGGAGCUUCAAACCCAAUUACACCCCUAACCCCUAUAACUACUUAACCCUUAGGAUUCUGUAUUAUUGGUUUUAGGUUGGGGCGACCACGGAGUACAACAAAACCUCCACAAUGAACGGAACUACUUCCUCAUCUGAGAGCUACACCUCUAAGAAUUAAAAUAUUAACAUAAAAUGAUCCAUUUUUGAUCAAUGAACCAAGUUACCCUGGGGAUAACAGCGCAAUCCAUUUCAAGAGCCCCUAUCGACAAA